GUGGGGAAUCUUGCGCAAUGGGGGCAACCCUGACGCAGCCAUGCCGCGUGAAUGAUGAAGGCCUUAGGGUUGUAAAGUUCUUUUGCCCGUGACGAUGAUGACGGUAACGGGAGAAUAAGCCACGGCUAACUACGUGCCAGCAGCCGCGGUAAUACGUAGGUGGCAAGCGUGGUCCGGAUUUACUGGGUGUAAAGGGCGCGUAGGCGGGAAGGCAAGUAAGAUGUGAAAUCCCCAGGCUUAACCUGGGAACUGCAUUUGAAACUGUUUUUCUUGAGUGAUGGAGAGGCAAGUGGAAUUCCAAGUGUAGCGGUGAAAUGCGUAGAGAUUUGGAAGAACACCAGUGGCGAAGGCGACUUUCUGGACGAUGUCUGACGCUGAGGCGCGAAAGCUAGGGGAGCGAACGGGAUUAGAAACCCGAGUAGUCC
This 425-nucleotide ribosomal RNA is filed under the name uncultured bacterium. RNAcentral describes it as "partial 16S ribosomal RNA". It matches the Rfam family "Bacterial small subunit ribosomal RNA", at positions 354 to 796 of the family's 1533-position model. The record is from RNAcentral.